RNAcentral lists this ribosomal RNA (253 nucleotides) under uncultured bacterium. RNAcentral's name for it is "partial 16S ribosomal RNA". It matches the Rfam family "Bacterial small subunit ribosomal RNA", at positions 524 to 776 of the family's 1533-position model. The record is from RNAcentral.
UACGAAGGUCCCGAGCGUUAUUCGGAAUCACUGGGCGUAAAGGGAGCGUAGGCGGCGUGGAAAGUCAGAUGUGAAAUCCCGGGGCUCAACCCCGGAACUGCAUCCGAUACUACCAUGCUAGAGUAUUGGAGGGGUAACUGGAAUUCUCGGUGUAGCAGUGAAAUGCGUAGAUAUCGAGAGGAACACUCGUGGCGAAAGCGAGUUACUGGACAAUUACUGACGCUGAGGCUCGAAGGCUAGGGGAGCAAAAGGG